This 429-nucleotide ribosomal RNA is filed under the name Bacteroidota bacterium. RNAcentral's name for it is "Bacteroidetes bacterium partial 16S ribosomal RNA". It matches the Rfam family "Bacterial small subunit ribosomal RNA", at positions 355 to 776 of the family's 1533-position model. Lineage: Bacteria; Pseudomonadati; Bacteroidota. The record is from RNAcentral.
UAGGGAAUCUUCGGCAAUGGGGGGAACCCUGACCGAGCAACGCCGCGUGAGUGAAGAAGGUUUUCGGAUCGUAAAGCUCUGUUGUUAAGGAAGAACGAGUGUGAGAAUUGAAAGUUCAUACUGUGACGGUACUUAACCAGAAAGGGACGGCUAACUACGUGCCAGCAGCCGCGGUAAUACGUAGGUCCCGAGCGUUGUCCGGAUUUAUUGGGCGUAAAGCGAGCGCAGGCGGUUAGAAAAGUCUGAAGUGAAAGGCAGUGGCUCAACCAUUGUAGGCUUUGGAAACUGUUUAACUUGAGUGCAGAAGGGGAGAGUGGAAUUCCAUGUGUAGCGGUGAAAUGCGUAGAUAUAUGGAGGAACACCGGUGGCGAAAGCGGCUCUCUGGUCUGUAACUGACGCUGAGGCUCGAAAGCGUGGGGAGCGAACAGG